GAUGAAGAACGCAGCGAAAUGCGAUAAGUAAUGUGAAUUGCAGAAUUCAGUGAAUCAUCGAAUCUUUGAACGCACAUUGCGCCCGUCAGUAUUCUGGCGGGCAUGCCUGUUCGAGCGUCAUUACGCCCCUCAAGUCCCCUGUGGACUUGGUGUUGGGGAUCGGCGAGGCUGGUUUUCCAGCACAGCCGUCCCUUAAAUUAAUUGGCGGUCUCGCCGUGGCCCUCCUCUGCGCAGUAGUAAAACACUCGCAACAGGAGCCCGGCGCGGUCCACUGCCGUAAAACCCCCCAACUUUUUAUAGUUGACCUCGAAUCAGGUAGGACUACCCGCUGAACUUAAGCAUAACAAUAAGCGGAGGA
RNAcentral lists this unclassified non-coding RNA (358 nucleotides) under soil metagenome. RNAcentral's name for it is "partial contains 5.8S ribosomal RNA, internal transcribed spacer 2, and large subunit ribosomal RNA". The stretch from base 1 to 120 matches the Rfam family "5.8S ribosomal RNA", at positions 35 to 154 of the family's 154-position model. The record is from RNAcentral.